This 2905-nucleotide ribosomal RNA is filed under the name Klebsiella pneumoniae. RNAcentral's name for it is "23S ribosomal RNA". It matches the Rfam family "Bacterial large subunit ribosomal RNA". Lineage: Bacteria; Pseudomonadati; Pseudomonadota; Gammaproteobacteria; Enterobacterales; Enterobacteriaceae. The record is from RNAcentral.
GGGUUGUGAGGUUAAGCGACUAAGCGUACACGGUGGAUGCCCUGGCAGUCAGAGGCGAUGAAGGACGUGCUAAUCUGCGAAAAGCGUCGGUAAGGUGAUAUGAACCGUUAUAACCGGCGAUGUCCGAAUGGGGAAACCCAGUGCAAUUCGUUGCACUAUCGUUAACUGAAUACAUAGGUUAACGAGGCGAACCGGGGGAACUGAAACAUCUAAGUACCCCGAGGAAAAGAAAUCAACCGAGAUUCCCCAGUAGCGGCGAGCGAACGGGGAGCAGCCCAGAGUCUGAAUCAGCUUGUGUGUUAGUGGAACGGUCUGGAAAGUCCGACGGUACAGGGUGAUAGUCCCGUACACCAAAAUGCACAGGUUGUGAACUCGAAGAGUAGGGCGGGACACGUGGUAUCCUGUCUGAAUAUGGGGACCAUCCUCCAAAUACUCCUGACUGACCGAUAGUGAACCAGUACCGUGAGGGAAAGGCGAAAAGAACCCCGGCGAGGGAGUGAAAAGAACCUGAAACCGUGUACGUACAAGCAGUGGGAGCACCUUCGGGUGUGACUGCGUACCUUUUGUAUAAUGGGUCAGCGACUUAUAUUCUGUAGCAAGGUUAACCGUAUAGGGGAGCCGCAGGGAAACCGAGUCUUAACUGGGCGUUAAGUUGCAGGGUAUAGACCCGAAACCCGGUGAUCUAGCCAUGGGCAGGUUGAAGGUUGGGUAACACUAACUGGAGGACCGAACCGACUAAUGUUGAAAAAUUAGCGGAUGACUUGUGGCUGGGGGUGAAAGGCCAAUCAAACCGGGAGAUAGCUGGUUCUCCCCGAAAGCUAUUUAGGUAGCGCCUCGUGAAUUCAUCUUCGGGGGUAGAGCACUGUUUCGGCUAGGGGGUCAUCCCGACUUACCAACCCGAUGCAAACUACGAAUACCGAAGAAUGUUAUCACGGGAGACACACGGCGGGUGCUAACGUCCGUCGUGAAGAGGAAACAACCCAGACCGCCAGCUAAGGUCCCAAAGUCAUGGUUAAGUGGGAAACGAUGUGGGAAGGCACAGACAGCCGGAUGUUGGCUUAGAAGCAGCCAUCAUUUAAAGAAAGCGUAAUAGCUCACUGGUCGAGUCGGCCUGCGCGGAAGAUGUAACGGGCUAAACCAUGCACCGAAGCUGCGGCAGCGACACUAUGUGUUGUUGGGUAGGGAGCGUUCUGUAAGCCUGCGAAGGUGUGCUGUGAGGCAUGCUGGAGGUAUCAGAAGUGCGAAUGCUGACAUAAGUAACGAUAAAGCGGGUGAAAAGCCCGCUCGCCGGAAGACCAAGGGUUCCUGUCCAACGUUAAUCGGGGCAGGGUGAGUCGACCCCUAAGGCGAGGCCGAAAGGCGUAGUCGAUGGGAAACAGGUUAAUAUUCCUGUACUUGGUGUUACUGCGAAGGGGGGACGGAGAAGGCUAUGUUAGCCGGGCGACGGUUGUCCCGGUUUAAGCAUGUAGGCUGAUUAUCGAGCAAAUCCGGAUAAUCAAGGCUGAGGUGUGAUGACGAGGCACUACGGUGCUGAAGUAACAAAUGCCCUGCUUCCAGGAAAAGCCUCUAAGCAUCAGGUAACAUCAAAUCGUACCCCAAACCGACACAGGUGGUCAGGUAGAGAAUACCAAGGCGCUUGAGAGAACUCGGGUGAAGGAACUAGGCAAAAUGGUGCCGUAACUUCGGGAGAAGGCACGCUGGUGUGUAGGUGAAGCCCCUGCGGGUGGAGCUGAGACCAGUCGAAGAUACCAGCUGGCUGCAACUGUUUAUUAAAAACACAGCACUGUGCAAACACGAAAGUGGACGUAUACGGUGUGACGCCUGCCCGGUGCCGGAAGGUUAAUUGAUGGGGUUAUCCGUAAGGAGAAGCUCUUGAUCGAAGCCCCGGUAAACGGCGGCCGUAACUAUAACGGUCCUAAGGUAGCGAAAUUCCUUGUCGGGUAAGUUCCGACCUGCACGAAUGGCGUAAUGAUGGCGGGCUGUCUCCACCCGAGACUCAGUGAAAUUGAACUCGCUGUGAAGAUGCAGUGUACCCGCGGCAAGACGGAAAGACCCCGUGAACCUUUACUAUAGCUUGACACUGAACAUUGAGCCUUGAUGUGUAGGAUAGGUGGGAGGCUUUGAAGCGUGGACGCCAGUCUGCGUGGAGCCAACCUUGAAAUACCACCCUUUAAUGUUUGAUGUUCUAACGUUGGCCCCUGACCGGGGUUGCGGACAGUGUCUGGUGGGUAGUUUGACUGGGGCGGUCUCCUCCCAAAGCGUAACGGAGGAGCACGAAGGUUAGCUAAUCCUGGUCGGACAUCAGGAGGUUAGUGCAAUGGCAUAAGCUAGCUUGACUGCGAGCGUGACGGCGCGAGCAGGUGCGAAAGCAGGUCAUAGUGAUCCGGUGGUUCUGAAUGGAAGGGCCAUCGCUCAACGGAUAAAAGGUACUCCGGGGAUAACAGGCUGAUACCGCCCAAGAGUUCAUAUCGACGGCGGUGUUUGGCACCUCGAUGUCGGCUCAUCACAUCCUGGGGCUGAAGUAGGUCCCAAGGGUAUGGCUGUUCGCCAUUUAAAGUGGUACGCGAGCUGGGUUUAGAACGUCGUGAGACAGUUCGGUCCCUAUCUGCCGUGGGCGCUGGAGAAUUGAGGGGGGCUGCUCCUAGUACGAGAGGACCGGAGUGGACGCAUCACUGGUGUUCGGGUUGUCAUGCCAAUGGCACUGCCCGGUAGCUAAAUGCGGAAGAGAUAAGUGCUGAAAGCAUCUAAGCACGAAACUUGCCCCGAGAUGAGUUCUCCUGAGACUUUAAGUCUCCUGAAGGAACGUUGAAGACGACGACGUUGAUAGGCCGGGUGUGUAAGCGCAGCGAUGCGUUGAGCUAACCGGUACUAAUGAACCGUGAGGCUUAACCUUACAACGCCGAAG